UACGUAGGGGGCAAGCGUUGUCCGGAAUCAUUGGGCGUAAAGAGCGUGUAGGCGGCCAGAAAAGUCCGCUGUGAAAACUCGAGGCUCAACUUCGAGCUGUCGGUGGAAACUUUCUGGCUAGAGUCCGGAAGAGGAGAAUGGAAUUCCUGGUGUAGCGGUGAAAUGCGCAGAUAUCAGGAGGAACACCAAUAGCGGAGGCAGCUCGCUGGGACGGUAUUGACGCUAAGGCGCGAAAGCGUGGGGAGCAAACAGG
Molecule: ribosomal RNA, 253 nt
Filed under: uncultured bacterium
Lineage: Bacteria
Description: partial 16S ribosomal RNA
Rfam family: Bacterial small subunit ribosomal RNA
Source: RNAcentral